Molecule: ribosomal RNA, 488 nt
Filed under: uncultured bacterium
Lineage: Bacteria
Description: bacterial SSU rRNA
Rfam family: Bacterial small subunit ribosomal RNA
Source: RNAcentral
AGAGUUUGAUUAUGGCUCAGGACAAACGCUGGCGGCGUGCCUAACACAUGCAAGUCGAACGAACCCCUCGGGGUUAGUGGCAGACGGGUGAGUAACACGUAGAUAAUGUACCUUCUCGCUGGGGGAUACCUACCCGAAAGGGUGGUUAAUACCGAAUGAUCUCAUCGGGCGGCAUCGUCUGAUGAGCAAACUGUUAGGGCGGGGAGAUCAGUCUGCGGGCCAUCAGCUAGUUGGUGAGGUAACGGCCCACCAAGGCUACGACGGUUAGCCGGUCUGAGAGGAUGAUCGGCCACACUGGAACUGAGAGACGGUCCAGACUCCUACGGGAGGCAGCAGUGAGGAAUAUUGCGCAAUGGGCGGAGGCCUGACGCAAGCGACGCCGCGUGAGGGAUGAAGGUCUUCGGAUUAGUAAACCUCUGUUAAGCGAAGGGAAGAGAACGGACGGUACCUGCUGAGGAAGCAUCGGCUUACUACGUGCCAGCAGCCGC